AGCCCCGUGGUCUAGCGGCCAAACGCGCCCGAUCCGAUCGGUCGCGGGCCAGUGAUUCGAGGCUCUGGAUCGGCCGUCGAGGCCGAGGGGAGACCUCGCGACGGCAGUUCGAAUCUGCCCGGGGCUA
RNAcentral lists this transfer RNA (127 nucleotides) under Methanobacteriota archaeon. RNAcentral's name for it is "Euryarchaeota archaeon (sediment metagenome) tRNA-OTHER". Lineage: Archaea; Methanobacteriati; Methanobacteriota. The record is from RNAcentral.